RNAcentral lists this unclassified non-coding RNA (242 nucleotides) under uncultured fungus. RNAcentral's name for it is "partial contains 5.8S ribosomal RNA, internal transcribed spacer 2, and large subunit ribosomal RNA". Lineage: Eukaryota; Fungi. The record is from RNAcentral.
AACGCACAUUGCGCCCCCUGGCAUUCCGGGGGGCACACCUGUUCGAGCGCCAUUUCUACCCUGGAGCCCUGCUCUGUGAUGGGCCCCGUCCCCGCGGACGGGCCCGAAACCCGUGGGCGCCGUCGCCCGGCCCCGAGCGUAGCAAGAGAAAUCCCUCGCUCGGAGUGCCUGUCGGCAGCCGCCCUUGAAACCUAUCUUACAAGGUUGGCCUCGGAUCAGGUGGGGAUACCCGCUGAACUUAA